RNAcentral lists this ribosomal RNA (455 nucleotides) under uncultured bacterium. RNAcentral's name for it is "bacterial SSU rRNA". It matches the Rfam family "Bacterial small subunit ribosomal RNA", at positions 340 to 786 of the family's 1533-position model. The record is from RNAcentral.
UACGGGAGGCAGCAGUGGGGAAUAUUGCACAAUGGGCGCAAGCCUGAUGCAGCCAUGCCGCGUGUAUGAAGAAGGCCUUCGGGUUGUAAAGUACUUUCAGUCGUGAGGAAGGUGUUAAGGUUAAUAACCUUAGCAAUUGACGUUAGCGACAGAAGAAGCACCGGCUAACUCCGUGCCAGCAGCCGCGGUAAUACGGAGGGUGCGAGCGUUAAUCGGAAUUACUGGGCGUAAAGGGCACGCAGGCGGUUAAUUAAGUUGGAUGUGAAAUCCCCGGGCUUAACCUGGGAAUGGCAUUCAAGACUGGUUAGCUAGAGUCUUGUAGAAGGGGGUGAAUUCCAUGUGUAGCGGUGAAAUGCGUAGAGAUGUGGAGGAAUACCGGUGGCGAAGGCGGCCCCUGGGACAAAGACUGACGCUCAUGUGCGAAAGCGUGGGGAGCGAAACAGGGAUUAGAUACC